This 431-nucleotide ribosomal RNA is filed under the name uncultured bacterium. RNAcentral's name for it is "partial 16S ribosomal RNA". It matches the Rfam family "Bacterial small subunit ribosomal RNA", at positions 29 to 507 of the family's 1533-position model. The record is from RNAcentral.
AACGAACGCUGGCGGCAGGCUUAACACAUGCAAGUCGAGCGCCCCGCCAGGGGAGCGGCAGCCGGGUGAGUAACGCGUGGGAACGUACCCUUAUCUUCGGGCUAGCUCCGGGAAACUGGAAUUAAUACCGAAUGUGCCCUUUGGGGGAAAGAUUUAUCGGAUAAGGAUCGGCCCGCGUUGGAUUAGCUAGUUGGUGGGGUAAAGGCCUACCAAGGCGACGAUCCAUAGCUGGUCUGAGAGGAUGAUCAGCCACAUUGGGACUGAGACACGGCCCAAACUCCUACGGGAGGCAGCAGUGGGGAAUAUUGGACAAUGGGCGCAAGCCUGAUCCAGCCAUGCCGCGUGAGUGAUGAAGGCCUUAGGGUUGUAAAGCUCUUUCACCGGAGAAGAUAAUGACGGUAGCCGGAGAAGAAGCCCCGGCUAACUUCGUG